AGACAAGGCGAGGAGGGGGAAGGAAAGCAGGUGUCAAAACAUCCCAAACAGCCUGAAAGGCCUUGUGGGGAGCAAUGCGGCCCUUUUGGGGCACCUAUACCCAGGUCACCUUGGUCACCUUGGACCUCUUCCCCUCCGGUCACCUUUGCCUUCCAGGUGAAGCAGAUCAUGGAGGAGGCUGUGACACGCAAGUUUGUCCACGAAGACAGCAGCCACAUCAUCUCCUUCUGUGCGGCUGUGGAGGCCUGCGUUCUACACGGGCUUCGGCGGCGGGCGGCUGGCUUCCUACGCAGCAAUAAGAUUGCAGCCCUCUUUAUGAAAGUGGGCAAGAACUUCCCGCCGGCUGAGGAUCUGAGCCGCAAGGUGCAAGACCUGGAGCAGCUGAUCGAGAGCGCGAGAAACCAGAUCCAAGGCCUCCAGGAGAAUGUGCGGAAGCUGCCGAAGCUGCCCAACUUGUCCCCACUUGCCAUCAAGCAUCUGUGGAUUCGCACAGCCUUGUUUGAGAAGGUCCUGGACAAAAUUGUGCAUUACCUUGUGGAAAACAGCAGUAAAUACUAUGAGAAGGAAGCUCUCCUGAUGGACCCUGUGGACGGCCCCAUCCUUGCAUCUUUGUUGGUGGGGCCCUGUGCCCUAGAGUACACCAAGAUGAAGACUGCAGAUCACUUCUGGACCGAUCCCUCGGCUGACGAACUUGUCCAGAGGCACCGCAUCCACAGCUCCCACGUGCGGCAGGACUCGCCCACCAAGCGUCCUGCCCUCUGUAUCCAGAAGAGGCAUUCCAGUGGCAGCAUGGAUGACCGGCCAUCCCUCUCUGCCCGCGACUACGUGGAGUCCCUGCAUCAGAACUCCCGUGCCACCCUUCUCUAUGGCAAAAACAACGUUCUUGUUCAGCCGAGGGACGACAUGGAGGCUGUGCCAGGGUACCUGUCCCUGCACCAGACGGCUGACGUCAUGACCUUGAAGUGGACACCCAACCAGCUGAUGAACGGGUCUGUGGGGGACCUGGACUAUGAGAAGAGCGUCUACUGGGACUAUGCCAUGACCAUCCGCUUGGAGGAGAUUGUCUACCUGCACUGCCACCAGCAAGUUGACAGCGGCGGGACAGUGGUAUUGGUCAGCCAGGACGGGAUCCAGAGGCCGCCCUUCCGCUUCCCCAAGGGCGGGCACCUCCUGCAGUUCCUCUCGUGCCUGGAGAAUGGGCUGCUCCCACAUGGGCAGUUGGACCCGCCACUGUGGUCCCAGAGGGGUAAGGGCAAAGUGUUUCCUAAACUGCGCAAGCGAAGCCCUCAGGGUUCUGCCGAGUCCACAUCUUCAGACAAAGAUGAUGACGAGGCCACGGAUUAUGUGUUCAGGAUCAUCUACCCUGGCAUGCAGUCGGAAUUCGUGCCCCAGGAUCUGAUGGACGUCUCUGUAAGCAACCUCCCAUCCCUGUGGCAGCCCAGUCCCCGGAAGUCCUCCUGUUCAUCCUGUUCACAGAGUGGCUUGGCUGAUGGUAGCUCGACCAAUGGCUGCAACCAUGAGAGGGCUCCCCUGAAACUUCUCUGUGACAAUAUGAAGUACCAGAUCCUCUCCAGAGCCUUCUAUGGAUGGCUGGCCUACUGCAGACACCUGUCCACCGUGAGGACCCACCUAUCAGCCCUGGUCAAUCACAUGAUCGUGUCUCCAGACUUGCCCUGCGAUGCUGGACAGGGGCUGACAGCCAGGAUCUGGGAGCAGUACCUUCACGACAGCACAAGUUAUGAGGAGCAGGAGCUGCUGCGCCUCAUCUACUACGGAGGCAUCCAGCCUGAGAUCCGCAAGGCCGUGUGGCCCUUCCUCCUGGGCCACUACCAGUUCGGGAUGACGGAAACAGAAAGGAAAGAGGUAGACGAGCAGAUUCAUGCCUGCUACGCACAGACCAUGGCUGAGUGGCUGGGCUGCGAGGCGAUCGUGCGGCAGAGGGAGCGGGAGUCCCAUGCGGCCGCCCUGGCCAAAUGCUCAUCCGGGGCCAGCUUGGACAGCCACCUGCACCGGAUGUUGCACAGGGACUCAACCAUCAGCAAUGAGUCCUCCCAGAGCUGCAGUUCGGGCCGCCAGAACAUCCGCCUGCACAGCGACUCCAGCAGCAGCACACAGGUGUUUGAGUCUGUGGAUGAGGUGGAGCAGGUGGAGGCUGAAGGCAGAUUGGAGGAGAAACAGCCCAAGAUCCCCAAUGGGAACCUAGUGAACGGCACUUGUUCCCCAGACUCGGGUCAUCCUUCCUCCCAUAACUUCUCCUCGGGCCUCUCAGAGCACUCAGAGCCCAGUCUGAGCACAGAAGACAGUGUCUUGGACGCCCAGCGGAACACCCCCCCGGUGCUGCGACCUAGGGAUGGCAGCGUGGAUGACAGGCAGAGCAGCGAGGCCACCACAUCUCAGGAUGAGGCUCCCCGGGAGGAGCUGGCCGUGCAGGACAGCCUGGAGAGCGACCUCCUGGCCAACGAGAGCAUGGACGAGUUCAUGUCCAUCACGGGCAGCCUGGACAUGGCCCUGCCUGAAAAGGACGAUGUUGUGAUGGAGGGCUGGAGGAGCAGCGAGGCAGAGAAACAUGGCCAGGCGGACAGUGAGGACAACCUCUCGGAGGAGCCUGAGAUGGAAAGUCUCUUCCCUGCCCUGGCUUCUCUGGCUGUGACUACUUCUGCCAACGAGGUGUCCCCUGUGUCUUCCAGCGGUGUCACCUACUCUCCAGAGCUGCUGGAUCUGUACACGGUGAACCUGCACCGCAUCGAGAAGGAUGUGCAGAGGUGCGACCGCAACUACUGGUACUUCACGCCCGCCAACUUGGAGAAGCUGCGUAACAUCAUGUGCAGCUACAUCUGGCAGCACAUUGAGAUCGGCUAUGUCCAGGGCAUGUGUGAUCUUCUGGCUCCACUGCUGGUCAUUCUGGAUGAUGAGGCCCUUGCCUUCAGCUGCUUCACGGAGCUCAUGAAGAGGAUGAACCAGAACUUCCCCCACGGAGGCGCCAUGGACACGCACUUUGCAAACAUGAGAUCGUUGAUCCAGAUCCUGGACUCAGAGCUGUUUGAGCUGAUGCAUCAGAACGGGGACUAUACUCACUUCUACUUCUGCUACCGCUGGUUCCUGCUGGAUUUCAAGCGAGAACUCGUCUAUGAUGACGUCUUCUUGGUCUGGGAGACCAUCUGGGCAGCCAAACACGUCUCCUCUGCGCACUACGUCCUGUUCAUUGCGCUGGCUCUGGUGGAAGUCUACCGUGACAUCAUUUUGGAGAACAACAUGGACUUCACAGACAUCAUCAAAUUCUUUAAUGAAAUGGCUGAGCGACACAACACCAAGCAAAUCCUGAAGCUGGCGCGGGACCUCGUGUACAAGGUGCAGACUCUGAUUGAGAACAAGUGAGGGGCACCUCACCCCGGCAGCCUCAGUCAAGCUGCCCCCACCCCGCUCCUCUGCUUACUUUUCCUCCUGGCUGGAUGGGCACCCCGGGAGCGGGGUCCUGGUGUCUGUUCACAAGCGUGGAGUUCAGUGCGCAAAGAAACUACCCUGACUUUUACUUCUGGGCAGAUGGGGUGGAGGGAGUACCCCUUCAAUUCAGCCUUACAUUUUCCUGUUUGACCAAAGAUUGCCCAAGUCUGGCGUUCCUCCCUUGCAGGAGGUGGAGGUUGUUGGUGGAGGAGGAGCCAUCUUUGUUUGCUGGUGCCCGGAAUGGUCUCCUCUU
Molecule: small RNA, 3694 nt
Filed under: Pan troglodytes (chimpanzee)
Lineage: Eukaryota; Metazoa; Chordata; Mammalia; Primates; Hominidae
Description: retained intron
Source: RNAcentral